RNAcentral lists this small nuclear RNA (23 nucleotides) under Arabidopsis thaliana (thale cress). Its description in RNAcentral is "snRNA_03449". Lineage: Eukaryota; Viridiplantae; Streptophyta; Magnoliopsida; Brassicales; Brassicaceae. The record is from RNAcentral.
CUGGGCCGUUUAAGACAUGCCGU